RNAcentral lists this unclassified non-coding RNA (90 nucleotides) under Pseudomonas yamanorum. The record is from RNAcentral. Lineage: Bacteria; Pseudomonadati; Pseudomonadota; Gammaproteobacteria; Pseudomonadales; Pseudomonadaceae.
UGUGGGAGCUGGCUUGCCUGCGAUAGCGGUGUAUCAGAUUGCAUUUUCAGCGGCUGACACUCCGCUAUCGCAGGCAAGCCAGCUCCCACA